UACGGGGGGGGCGAGCGUUGUUCGGAAUUACUGGGCGUAAAGGGCUCGUAGGCGGCCAACUAAGUCGGAUGUGAAAUCCCCAGGCUCAACCUGGGAACUGCAUCCGAUACUGGAUGGCUUGAAUUCGGGAGAGGGAUGCAGAAUUCCAGGUGUAGCGGUGAAAUGCGUAGAUAUCUGGAGGAAUACCGGUGGCGAAGGCGGCAUCCUGGACCGACAUUGACGCUGAGGAGCGAAAGCCAGGGGAGCAGACGGG
Molecule: ribosomal RNA, 253 nt
Filed under: uncultured bacterium
Lineage: Bacteria
Description: partial 16S ribosomal RNA
Rfam family: Bacterial small subunit ribosomal RNA
Source: RNAcentral